This 358-nucleotide unclassified non-coding RNA is filed under the name soil metagenome. RNAcentral's name for it is "partial contains 5.8S ribosomal RNA, internal transcribed spacer 2, and large subunit ribosomal RNA". The stretch from base 2 to 121 matches the Rfam family "5.8S ribosomal RNA", at positions 35 to 154 of the family's 154-position model. The record is from RNAcentral.
GGAUGAAGAACGUAGCGAAAUGCGAUAACUAAUGUGAAUUGCAGAAUUCCGUGAAUCAUUGAGUCUUUGAACGCACAUUGCACCCUCUGGUAUUCCGGGGGGUAUGCCUGUCCGAGCGUCAUUACAACCCCUCAAGCCCGGCUUGUGUGAUGGGUGGUCUGUCUUCCCCGUUAGUUAGGGGAAGAUGCCCUCGAAAUCUAGUGGGAACGUCUAGGUAGUUCUAGGCUCAGUCAAUGGGAACAUUCUAGCGACUGCAGCUUCUUGCUUAGAUGUUCAUCCUAGCUAAACAUUCUUUCCAGGUUGACCUCGGAUCAGGUAGGGAUACCCGCUGAACUUAAGCAUAUCAAUAAGCGGAGGA